GGGUCCGCGUAGGCGGCGGUGACCGCCCGCUUGGGGCGCAGCCGGAGCCCGCCGGGCGGCUCGGUCUCCGGCGCGGGCCCG
RNAcentral lists this transfer RNA (81 nucleotides) under Streptomyces fumanus. RNAcentral describes it as "tRNA-Pro(ggg)". The record is from RNAcentral. Lineage: Bacteria; Bacillati; Actinomycetota; Actinomycetes; Kitasatosporales; Streptomycetaceae.